ACGCAAAUCCGUUCCCUGUAGAUGUUGUGGAAAGAGAAUCAAGCAUGGCCUCCACAAAAUCAGCAUCUACUAUGACCACAGAUUUGACUACUGAAAAGCCUGGUGCUCCCACUUCUGUAACUCUUGUGAAACCAGCAUCAGAUGAAGAAGAGUCACGCAUGACGCAGACUAAGCCGACAUCUACUACGACCACAGGUCUGACUGUUAGCAAGUCCCAUGCUUCCACUCCUGUAACACCGAUAAAACAA
Molecule: long non-coding RNA, 248 nt
Organism: Sebastes umbrosus (honeycomb rockfish)
Lineage: Eukaryota; Metazoa; Chordata; Actinopteri; Perciformes; Sebastidae
Exons: 4
Source: RefSeq, a predicted model, not a curated record